GGUCUAUUCAAAGGUAAGCGGAGACCAACCUCCUGAAACAUCCACAAUCGAUGUAAGCUCGAAAGAAUUUUACGGUGAAGGGUAUGAUGACAGUGACAAGAGAAUUCCUGACAUGACCAUAAUCAACAAGCAGCUCGGUAAGUUUAGGUUUAGGUUUCCAUUUCAUCGUGUCGGUUGUUGUUCCCACUUGAUCUUCAACGUUUUGUUAAUUUAUGCAGGAUGGAAUCCAAAGACUUCGCUCUGGGAUCUGCUCGAAUCGACACUCACCUAUCAGCACAGGACAUAUGCAGAAGCCAUCAAGAAAGUGAUUGCACAACCAAUUGCAAGUUAGAAGGUUUAAACAAAAACAUCAAUGGCAAUGCCAGAAGGGUAGUGAUACAUACCCAAGUACCUUACAUUAUAUAUUACUGUUUUUGAAUUUUUACAUAUAUGGUAAAUUUAAUGUAGAGCUUUGCAGUGGUAAACAAGUUAUGGCAUUUUUCAUGUAUAAAGGAAAAGU
Molecule: long non-coding RNA, 499 nt
Filed under: Lathyrus oleraceus (garden pea)
Lineage: Eukaryota; Viridiplantae; Streptophyta; Magnoliopsida; Fabales; Fabaceae
Description: Pisum sativum (pea) long non-coding RNA (PSAT_LNC042217)
Source: RNAcentral